UCCCAGGUAGCUCAGAUGGUAAAGAAUCUGUCUGCAAUGCAGGAGACCUAGGUUUGAUCCCUGGGUUGGGAA
Molecule: transfer RNA, 72 nt
Filed under: Capra hircus (goat)
Lineage: Eukaryota; Metazoa; Chordata; Mammalia; Artiodactyla; Bovidae
Also listed under: 1 other name
Rfam family: tRNA
About the family: Transfer RNA (tRNA) molecules are approximately 80 nucleotides in length. Their secondary structure includes four short double-helical elements and three loops (D, anti-codon, and T loops).
Source: Rfam by way of RNAcentral